CGUGCUUACAAAUGUCUGACUAAUGGCUUUUUGUAUGAGGUUUUUCUGUACUUCGGGUAUGGUCGAUUCUACCAGUAAGGGAAUUUCUUCGUCAAUUAUGUUCCUAGAUGACUCGUUUUCUUCCUUAAUCUCCAUUGUAGGAAUUCUGAGCUGUUGCGUCUGUUUGAUACUCGACAGGAUUGUUUUUUAGCAAGAUUAUUUUGGUAAGGUGCAUUUAUAGAUUAUUAAGUUAUUGGAUUUUAGUGUAAGAGAAGGAAAAUGUGAGUUAGCAAUGCCUUGCAAGAAACAGAAACAUAAUGGCAGUUUACUUUUUCAGGUUUGGUAGUGUUGUUAUGUAAAAGUACGGCAAGGAGGCAGAAUUAAAGUUGAGCUGAAGUUAUGGAAGAGAAGGAAAAUGUGAGUAGCAAUGCCUUGCAAGAAACAGAAACAUAAAUGCUUAAAACUGGAUUACAUGGGAGUUUACUUUUUCAGGUUUGAUAGUGUUGUUAUGCAAAAGUACGGCAAGGAGGCAGAAUUAAAGUUGAGCUGAAGUUAUGGAACUUGGCUUUUGGGUAAGAUUUGGCUUUCCUUUUCCCUUUAACAGCAAACUAUGCAUUUUUACGUUUAGGACUUGGUUUAGAAGUUCC
Molecule: long non-coding RNA, 626 nt
Filed under: Olea europaea (common olive)
Lineage: Eukaryota; Viridiplantae; Streptophyta; Magnoliopsida; Lamiales; Oleaceae
Description: long non-coding RNA (OEUR_LNC007998)
Source: RNAcentral